AUCUGUAACUGGUCUGAGAGGAUGAUCAGUCACACCGGAACUGAGACACGGUCCGGACUCCUACGGGAGGCAGCAGUGGGGAAUAUUGGACAAUGGGGGCAACCCUGAUCCAGCCAUGCCGCGUGUGUGAAGAAGGCCUUUUGGUUGUAAAGCACUUUAAGCAGGGAGGAGAGGCUAAUGGUUAAUACCCAUUAGAUUAGACGUUACCUGCAGAAUAAGCACCGGCUAACUCUGUGCCAGCAGCCGCGGUAAUACAGAGGGUGCGAGCGUUAAUCGGAAUUACUGGGCGUAAAGCGAGUGUAGGUGGCUCAUUAAGUCACAUGUGAAAUCCCCGGGCUUAACCUGGGAACUGCAUGUGAUACUGGUGGUGCUAGAAUAUGUGAGAGGGAAGUAGAAUUCCAGGUGUAGCGGUGAAAUGCGUAGAGAUCUGGAGGAAUACCGAUGGCGAAGGCAGCUUCCUGGCAUAAUAUUGACACUGAGAUUCGAAAGCGUGGGUAGCAA
Molecule: ribosomal RNA, 501 nt
Filed under: Enhydrobacter sp.
Lineage: Bacteria; Pseudomonadati; Pseudomonadota; Alphaproteobacteria; Hyphomicrobiales
Description: bacterial SSU rRNA
Rfam family: Bacterial small subunit ribosomal RNA
Source: RNAcentral